Molecule: transfer RNA, 72 nt
Filed under: Tannerella sp.
Lineage: Bacteria; Pseudomonadati; Bacteroidota; Bacteroidia; Bacteroidales; Tannerellaceae
Description: tRNA-Thr
Rfam family: tRNA
About the family: Transfer RNA (tRNA) molecules are approximately 80 nucleotides in length. Their secondary structure includes four short double-helical elements and three loops (D, anti-codon, and T loops).
Source: RNAcentral
GCCUGCGUAGCUCAGGGGUAGAGCGCUUCCUUGGUAAGGAAGAGGUCCCGAGUUCAAUUCUCGGCGCCGGCU